UUUGUGAUUAAGACAGUUUAAUACUGAGAGCACAUCUUAGUGAGGACUAAGCACAAUCCAGAUGCUCGCUAGCCACACAGGUGGUCAGUGGCUACUGCACUGGACAGCAUAGAGAAAUAUUAAGGAAACUCAUGAGGCAUAAGUGAGCCCCAGGUAGACCUGACAAAGAAUUAGAGAUUCAGACUCCAAAAGCACUUUGGGUCAAGCUGUGUAAGUAAUCUUGACAGCUCUCAUAGGAGCAAAGGCCCUCUUGGUAUCAUCUGCCUUAAAGUGGAUAUGUGCUGAAAGUGGGAGCUAGUGAGCCCUAGUGGAAAAAGUGGUCAUUUCAGAUAGAUAGGUCUUUUAAUAACUAUGUGACUACAAACAGGUUGCUUAUCUUCCUGAACCCAUUUUCCAAAUCUGAAAAAGAUGGGCUGAAUGUAUUUGUGAUCCCUAGCACAAAAUAUCAAUAAAUUAUAAUUCUCAUUAAAAUUUUACUUUGUGAUACCAGAUACAAUAUUUAUUUUCCAUAACAAAAGAUCUGACAAGUGAGGUCCCUAGAAGAUUUCAGUCAUCUCACAAAUGUUACUAGAGGACUUCAAUGUGCCCAACCCUGCUCCAAGCACUUAGGACAAAUCAGUGAACAAAAUAGAUGAAGAACAUGAACUGUGCUCAAGCAAUGGACCGAAGGAACUAUUGGGAGCAUCCCAUGACACUCUCUUCAGGUAAAAAUUUCCAGCAUUUUCAAUAUGACUGCCAUGACAGGGGGGGAAAAGGGUGAAGGGAACAGGGGAAAGAUUCUCCUGGACUUGCUGUGGGUAUCUGGGGGAAGUGGAUACUAAAAUAAGCCCCAGUGUAAUGCGUUCCCCAGAGUUCUAAAAGUACAGUGAAGUGCUGAGGGUACCACAAGCACAUGUCACACAUGGAGAUUCUCUUUGCACUAUCUUAUUAGGAGAUAAAUCAUUUAAAAUACUAUUUUAGCAUAAAGACCAAUACAGAAAUAUUUUGAGGAAAAACGCAAAAUUCACACGAAGUUUCUGAAUAAAACACAGACCCCCAAAGAAAUUUCUUAGUUGUGGUGAGUGUAUUGGGCCAAAAGCCAGGAUAUUGUGUAACAUGCUAUAAUUUUGUAAGCAUAUCUUAGUGGGAAUUGCAGGGAGUGGACACAUUAGAGUGUUUAUGUUUUGCUUUUUCUCCAAUAUGUAGAAGUUACUUUGAAUUCUCAUGUUACCAUGCAGAUAGUUUCUUAACCCCACUAUGGGCUGUGUAGAUACCAGAUUUGGAAAAAGGUUGUUCUAUGGCUGGUUUACUUCAAUUUCAUGGCAUGGGUUCAGAAUGAGACUCUGCAAGUACUCUAGUCUCUACCUGCACUUAUAAAUCAAGGCUGGGGACUUCUAUUUACUGGAUUCUAUGUCAGCUGUGUUCACUGCUUCUCUUUCACAAACAAGAAAUUACAUAAAAGGCUUCUAAAAGAAAUAGGAAUCAUGGUAAUGUUUAAAAAAGACAAAGCUGAGAAAAAGAUAAUCUAGGGGCUAUUUACAUCUAAAGUGCCUGGCAAUGCCCACAGUUGUAGCUACUGUAGAGCCACUCUGCUCCAAACAAGUCAGUGACUGGAUAACUUGGGUGUCAGGGCAACUUUUUGGAAGCAUGAGACUAUUCUUUAAUCAACGCUGGGGAGAAGCUCUCUUCUGUGUUUGUGUUGCAUUUGAAAUCUUGGCCAGUAAAUGUUGAAUUCAAUUUAACAAACUAUUUUUUUAGUGUUUGUUCAAUUAGAGGUUGAGUCAGCCUUGGAGAUGGCUGGCUUACCUGCCAAGUAGAACAGCUGAGAGAUGGUGAUUCACAUUUGUACGAUGGUUUAUGAAUGGCAAAGGUCUCAUUCACAUGUUAUUAUAUUUGGUUCCCAUAACAACACUACAUGGCAGAGAUUGAUAACACGUUCCCCAAUUUCAAACCCUUUGUUUCCCCCUAAUAACAUAAAUUGCCAUAUUUAGAUAGUUUUGCAAAAUAACACUGCCUCUAAGCCUCAUAAUUAUGACCAUGUUGCUCAGUUCUGAAAAAUGUGUGUGAAAAUAAUGUGUGCGGCUUUUGAAAUUUCCUUAUGAUUUUUUCUUUGAUCUAUUGGUUAUUUAGGAGUGUGUUGUUUAAUUUUCAUAUAUUAGAAACUUCCAAAAUUUCUUUCUGUUAUUGAUUUAUUUUAUUUUUUUGUGGUCAGAGAAUAUACUUUGUUUGGUAUCCAUUCUUUUAAAUUUAUUGAGACCUCUUUCAUGGCCUAAUGCAUAAUCUAUCCUGGAUAAAGUUCUGAGUGCACUUGAGAAAAAUGCAUAUUCUGUUGUUAUUGAGAGGAAUGUUCUAUAAUGGGGUCCCUAUUUGGCCACACAGCAGGAGUUGAGUGUCAGGUGAGAAAGUGAAGCUUUAUCUUCAUCUGUAUUUACAGACUCUCACCAUCAUUCACAUUACCAACUGAGCUCCACCUCCCGUCAGAUCAUCAGGGCAUCAGAUUCGCAUAGGAGCUCAAAACCUACUGUGAAUUGCUCAUGCAAGUGAUCUAGGAUUUGUGCUUCUUAUGAGAAUCUAAUCCUGAAACCAUCUUUCCCUCCCCACCUGACAUAAAAUAUUUGUCUUCCACAAAAUUGGUCCUUGGUGCCAAAAUUUUGGGGGACUUCUGUUCUAUAAGAUGUCUUUUGGGUCUUAUUGGUUUAUACAUUUGUUCAAGUCUUCUAUUUUUUCAUUGAUAUUCUACCUAGUUGUUCGAUAUUGAAACGAGAUACCCAAAUUUCUAUUGUGUUUUGUCAUUAUUCUACCCUUUAAUUCUGUCAGUUUUGCUUUGUGUAUUUUGAGGCUUUGUUGUGAGGUGCACAUAUAUUGUUAUCUUUGCUCAUUAUAGUGUCCUUGUAAUAUCCUAAGAAAGAUACAUGGUCUUUAUCUCUCUACUUCCUGGCACAGAGCUCCCAAGACCAUUGGAAUUUCCCUUAGUGAUUUGGGUGACAAGAGUAUAAUUUGUUCUAAUGAGUUGAUUCUUCUUGUCGAGCCACUAGAUAGCUUCAGGAGGGACUGGUCACCAAGUAGUCUUUUUUCUUUUGGUACCAGGGUUCAAACUUGGGAUCUUGCACUUGCAGGGCAGGUGGCGGCACCACUGAGCCAAAUCCCCAGCCUCAGGUAGUCUUAAUUAUGAGGUUGGAACAUUCAGUCCAAUAUCCCAACUACCUGGAAGGGGAGAAGGGGUGUAGAUUGAGUUGAUCAUCAAUGGCCAAUGAUUUAUUCUGUCAUGUCUAUGGAAUAAAAUUGCCACAAAACCCCCUAUAUGAUGGGAUUCAGAGAGCCUCCAAAUUAGUACACACAUCAAGGUGCUAGUAGAGAAGCAUGUUUAGAGAGGGCGUGGGAGCUCUGUGCCACCCCCUCCCUAUACCUUGCCCUACUAAUUUCUUAUAUUUGGCUAUUUUUGAGUUGGAUCUUCCAUAAUAAUCUGGAAAUAAGCAAUGUGCUUUAACUUUAUUGAAUUCUGUGAGUUAUUCUAGAAAAUUAUUGAAGCUGAGGUGGGAAGUCAUGAGAACCCCUAAAUUUGCAGCCUAUUCAUAAAGAAAGAAUGAAGGACACUCUAUGGUAUGCUUUUAGAGCAGGCAGAUCAACUCUCUCAGCUACAUUGAAGUAUGGGAGGAUCUCCUCUCAAGAGAAAGAAUUGCUCAUAACAGACUGGAACACAUCCCUGUGGAUAGCACCUUGCAAGAGGAAUGGAAAAGCAGAGAGAUGGGCAAAUGAGCAUUGAUUUUUCCAUGGACAAGUGUAUUUGAGUGAAUGAAAGGGAAGAAAAACAUUGUGCCUCUCACAUCUUCUACACAUGGAAAAGAAACAUUGAAUAUGAAAAGUGUGUCUUUCUACCAUGUACUCCUUGGAUAGAAGAUAUUUAUCCAAACUAACAAAACUAAUUAAAGCAGAGCUGCAGUCAAUUUUAGUAUAUGUGCUGCUGAAAUGAGCACGAGAGCCAGAGUCCAAUAGAGGAUUUAGUAAUGCUUCCCAUUAUACAAUUCUAUUCUUGCCAAUAAAUGGAUAAUUUUGAAAAUAUGUUGUCUUCAUUAGAAAUGACAGGCAGUAGGAAGACCAGAACAGAUGUAGUUCUUAAACUUUCACAACAGUUUUAUGAAAUAGAUAUUGUCAUCAACGUUUUGCAGGUAAUGAAAUACAAGCUUAAAGAGGUUAAGUAGCUUGCUGAGGAUCACAGAAAUGGGAUGUGGUAAAUUUACAGUGUGAGCCCAGAUUCACCUAACAUUAAAGUCUGUGCUGUUUCUAUGGCAUUCCAAUGGAGUUAACAAUAAACCAGUUGAGCAGUGUAAGUGUUGCUAAUACUUCAUUGGAAGGAGAAGUCUUCAGUACAAGACACAGACAUGGUUUCACUGAGGAUUUAAUAGGCAUAAAAUCAGAAGUAAGAGAAUUUUGAAGACAUGCUAUGCAUUCAGAAAUACUGUGGAGUUAGAAAUCUAUAUACCACCUCUGGGGAGAUAUUAAGUAAAUAAAUUAUUCUGAAGCUGCAGCUUGCCUAUUAUGUCUCAUCAAAGUAGAAACAUUAUAGAUUUACCAUGUCAAGGGCUGGACCUUGAUCCUCUGGAAUCCAGGCUUGGGCAAGAAUGUGGAUCAGGAUGUGAGAUGUCCCAGGUGUUAGGGACAACUCGAGAGCAAAUCAGGGAAGAAGGGACUAAAGGCACAGCCAAGUAGGUAGUUGCAGAAAGAUGUGCAACAUGUGCCAAAGGAAAAGUCUCAAACUGUGAGACAGGAGCAAGAAGAUCCAAUGCUAUUAGUAGAGGGAUGGAAAGAUAGGUAUCUACAAAAGUGCAUGGAGUUGUCGUUAUGUAAAUGAGAGUCACUGAAGGUGUGAUGGGGAUGAAAGUAGCUUCAGCAUCUCCCUCCUGGUCUAGCUGCUUUAACCAGUAUUCUUUUUUAUGUGUGGUCUACACUCAGCCUUAAACAUUCAACCUUAAAAGGCUACUUCAUGCUGAAUUAAAGGACUAAUGACAGUACA
Heterocephalus glaber (naked mole-rat) is the source of this 4990-nucleotide long non-coding RNA. RefSeq lists it as uncharacterized. The record is from RefSeq and is a predicted model, not a curated record. Lineage: Eukaryota; Metazoa; Chordata; Mammalia; Rodentia; Bathyergidae.